RNAcentral lists this unclassified non-coding RNA (507 nucleotides) under Hevea brasiliensis (rubber tree). Lineage: Eukaryota; Viridiplantae; Streptophyta; Magnoliopsida; Malpighiales; Euphorbiaceae. The record is from RNAcentral.
UAAAACCCAUGGAUCAAACUUGUAAAAAUCAAUUUCACCAAUAAUUUGCAAAGAGAUUUGAUGACCAGUAACUCUCCUACAUAAAUACUGCACUAGAAGCUCCUCAUCGGUUCAUGAGCAGAACCGAAAACCCAAUGGUAAGCUCAAUUGAGCGAGCGGGUUAGUUUCUUGCACUCCCAAUUUUAGGCCUCAAUUUGUAAAGCAUGAGACAUAGGAAAACAGAGACUGAAGCAAAAAUGGAAGCUCUAAGUUACCACCGCUGCUGAAGCAAGCAAACAGAACUCUGUAUUUGAAGCAUUGCACUCAGUUGUCCUCAAUGAAAAUGGAAGAGAAUAAUAAUAAUAAUAACCAAGUGCCAAAUUUGUCGAAGCAAGUUUUAGUGAUUGCAAAAGGGCUUCUGGAAAAGAGAGGGAAAGGAGGAGGGAGAGAAAGGGAGAGUGAAAAAUAAAGAAUUUUAACCCUAAUUUAAUUAUAAAGGUAAAUUUGUCUUUUUUUCUAUCAUGAAUA